This 497-nucleotide ribosomal RNA is filed under the name uncultured bacterium. RNAcentral's name for it is "partial 16S ribosomal RNA". It matches the Rfam family "Bacterial small subunit ribosomal RNA", at positions 28 to 507 of the family's 1533-position model. The record is from RNAcentral.
GAUGAACGCUGGCGGCGUGCCUAAUACAUGCAAGUCGAGCGAACAGACGAGGAGCUUGCUCCUCUGAUGUUAGCGGCGGACGGGUGAGUAACACGUGGAUAACCUACCUAUAAGACUGGGAUAACUUCGGGAAACCGGAGCUAAUACCGGAUGAUAUUUUGAACCGCAUGGUUCAAUAGUGAAAGACGGUCUUGCUGUCACUUAUAGAUGGAUCCGCGCUGCAUUAGCUAGUUGGUAAGGUAACGGCUUACCAAGGCAACGAUGCAUAGCCGACCUGAGAGGGUGAUCGGCCACACUGGAACUGAGACACGGUCCAGACUCCUACGGGAGGCAGCAGUAGGGAAUCUUCCGCAAUGGGCGAAAGCCUGACGGAGCAACGCCGCGUGAGUGAUGAAGGUCUUCGGAUCGUAAAACUCUGUUAUUAGGGAAGAACAUAUGUGUAAGUAACUGUGCACAUCUUGACGGUACCUAAUCAGAAAGCCACGGCUAACUACGUG